GCUAGCUUGGCAGAAAAGUGCAUUAGAUUUAGAAUCUUUAUAUAUAAUUGUUAUUAUAGGUAGUA
This 65-nucleotide transfer RNA is filed under the name Octostigma sinensis. RNAcentral describes it as "tRNA-Leu". Lineage: Eukaryota; Metazoa; Arthropoda; Diplura; Rhabdura; Octostigmatidae. The record is from RNAcentral.